This 520-nucleotide ribosomal RNA is filed under the name uncultured bacterium. RNAcentral's name for it is "partial 16S ribosomal RNA". It matches the Rfam family "Bacterial small subunit ribosomal RNA", at positions 28 to 507 of the family's 1533-position model. The record is from RNAcentral.
GACGAACGCUGGCGGCUUUCCUAAUACCUGCAAGUCGAACGCCCUCUCGUUUAGAUUUCAUGAGUUUGCUCCUGAUUGAUAAACAUUUGAGUGAGUGGCGUCCGGGUGAGUAACACGUGGGUAACCUGCCCUAAAGUGGGGGAUAACAUUUGGAAACAGAUGCUAAUACCGCAUAAAACCUAACACCGCAUGGUGUAGGGUUGAAAGAUGGUUUCGGCUAUCACUUUAGGAUGGACCCGCGGUGCAUUAGUUAGUUGGUGAGGUAAAGGCUCACCAAGACAGGGAUGCAUAGACGAACUGAGAGGGGAAUAGGCCAAAAUGGGAAUGAGAAAAGGACCAGACUACUAAGGGAGGCAGCAGUAGGGAAUCUUCCACAAUGGACGAAAGUCUGAUGGAGCAACGCCGCGUGAGUGAAGAAGGUUUUCGGAUCGUAAAACUCUGUGGUUGGAGAAGAAUGUAUCUGAUAGUAACUGAUCAGGUAGUGACGGUAUCCAACCAGAAAGCCACGGCUAACUACGUG